This is a non-coding RNA of Sesamum indicum (sesame), 1748 nucleotides long. The record is from RefSeq and is a predicted model, not a curated record. Lineage: Eukaryota; Viridiplantae; Streptophyta; Magnoliopsida; Lamiales; Pedaliaceae.
AAAUCGUACAUAGGCCAUUUCGCACUUUCAAUCCCAAGAAAUGGAACCCCCACAAGACGACGACCACUGCAGUCGCCACCAUGAACAGCCGUCGCAGUUCCCAUCUCCGUCGUCGACCUGCGCCAAGUGUGGCGGCCCCACCUGCUUCCCCACUCCGCCGCCCUCCGCCACCCCUUCCUACAUCCCCAUCCGCUUCCCCGCCGUGAACCUCCCUACAUCCCCCACCAAUACCAAAGAGGUCAUCAUGCGUACUCCGGUCCCCCAAGCUGAGAAGGUGGAAUCCAUCACUCUCCCUCACCAAUUCACCGUCCCUUCGAAGAAAAUCCGCUCCCAGGAGGACAUAACACGGUUCCACUCCUCCCCUUCCUUCCGCAACUUCCUCGGCUUCGUCGUCUCCCUCUCCGAGUCCAUCAAAUCUCGCAAGCUCUCCCACCCCUGCCACCUGUCCUCCACCGUCGAAACUCUAGUCACUAUUCUCCAGAAGCUGGUUGAUUAUGUCGACGAAAUCCCGCCGGCGCCGCAGACCGCGCGGUAUGGCAACGUUUCGUAUCGUGUGUGGCACGAGCGCAUGACUGCAGAGGCCGAGUCAUCUAUGCGGGGAUUUCUGCCGCCCCAUCUUCACGAUUCUACCAUAGAACUUGUCCCGUAUUUCACUGAUAGCUUUGGCAACGCCUCCCGCAUCGAUUAUGGCACAGGUCAUGAGACAAACUUUGCUGCGUGGUUGUAUUGCCUAGCAAGAUUGGGUGUUGUGGGGGAAGAGGAUUAUCAAGCUUUGGUCUCAAGAGUGUUUGUCAAGUACUUGGAGUUGAUGAGAAAAUUGCAACUUACAUAUUGCUUAGAGCCUGCUGGAUCCCAUGGUGUGUGGGGACUUGAUGACUACCAUUUCUUGCCAUAUAUAUUUGGGUCAUCACAACUGAUUGACCACAAGUAUAUGAAGCCAAAGUCAAUUCAUAAUGAGGAUAUUUUGGAGAAUUUCUCAAAUGAGUACUUGUAUCUCUCGUGUAUUGUGUUUGUGAAGAAGGUGAAGAAGGGGUUGUUUGCUGAGCAUUCACCUAUGUUGGAUGACAUCAGUGGUGUUCCAAAUUGGAAUAAGGUGAACAGUGGGCUGCUAAAGAUGUAUAAAGUAGAAGUUCUGGAGAAGGUUCCUAUUAUGCAACAUUUUCUCUUUGGCUCAAUUAUCAAAUGGGGCUAAAGUGGCAUGAGAGGUGCAUUUUCUAUGAAAUAAACUCUCCAGGGAUUGUAUUGUGUUUGAUGCAUACAAAAUUUGAACGAUUAUUCCUUUUUUCCUUAAGGGUGGAGUUCAGUUACAAUGGAAACUGGCAGCCAGUGAAUGCUCUUGCAGUAUUGUAUCCUUAAUAUGAUUUCUUAUCCCAGAUGGUGGCGGUUUGAUCACAAUGGCUCUGGUUUGGCUGAUCAUUCCACGAAUCAAAGGCUUAUACAAGAGAACAUCGUUGCUUCGAAAAUUGUAGCAAAACAUUCUGAAUGUUGUUACAAUGCCUAGGAGGCUUAAUGGACAAAAGGUUCUGGGGUAAUUAUAACAGGAAUUUUACUAAAUGCACCGUGUAUGCAUGAUUGUAAAUGUUUUAACUUUAGGUCAUGAGACCUGAAUUACAUUCACCAAGAAUUUGAAACGGAGAAUUCUUACAAAGACUCAACAUAAGCCUCUUAUUAACCGUGUUAAUUAUUUAACAUAAGCAAUAUGGAAAAUUGUUUGCUUUCUCAUUACAAUUCCCAAUGGACACAAGAAU